This 484-nucleotide ribosomal RNA is filed under the name uncultured bacterium. Its description in RNAcentral is "partial 16S ribosomal RNA". It matches the Rfam family "Bacterial small subunit ribosomal RNA", at positions 30 to 507 of the family's 1533-position model. The record is from RNAcentral.
AUUGAACGCUGGCGGCAGGCCUAACACAUGCAAGUCAAGCGGAUGAAGGGAGCUUGCUCCUGGAUUCAGCGGCGGACGGGUGAGUAAUGCCUAGGAAUCUGCCUGGUAGUGGGGGAUAACGUCCGGAAACGGGCGCUAAUACCGCAUACGUCCUGAGGGAGAAAGUGGGGGAUCUUCGGACCUCACGCUAUCAGAUGAGCCUAGGUCGGAUUAGCUAGUUGGUGGGGUAAAGGCCUACCAAGGCGACGAUCCGUAACUGGUCUGAGAGGAUGAUCAGCCACACUGGAACUGAGACACGGUCCAGACUCCUACGGGAGGCAGCAGUGGGGAAUAUUGGACAAUGGGCGAAAGCCUGAUCCAGCCAUGCCGCGUGUGUGAAGAAGGUCUUCGGAUUGUAAAGCACUUUAAGUUGGGAGGAAGGGAAGUAAGUUAAUACCUUGCUGUUUUGACGUUACCAACAGAAUAAGCACCGGCUAACUUCGUG